This 253-nucleotide ribosomal RNA is filed under the name uncultured Flavobacteriaceae bacterium. RNAcentral's name for it is "partial 16S ribosomal RNA". It matches the Rfam family "Bacterial small subunit ribosomal RNA", at positions 1 to 260 of the family's 1533-position model. The record is from RNAcentral. Lineage: Bacteria; Pseudomonadati; Bacteroidota; Flavobacteriia; Flavobacteriales; Flavobacteriaceae.
CGCUGUAGUUUGAUCCUGGCUCAGGAUGAACGCUAGCGGCAGGCUUAACACAUGCAAGUCGAGGGGUAUAGUUCUUCGGAGCUAGAGACCGGCGCACGGGUGCGUAACGCGUAUGCAAUCUACCUUUUACAGAGGGAUAGCCCGAGAGAAAUUUGGAUUAAUACCUCAUAGUAUGUGAGAAUCGCAUGGUUUCACAUUAAAGUUACAACGGUAAAAGAUGAGCAUGCGUCCCAUUAGCUAGAUGGUAAGGUAA